UACGGAGGGGGCUAGCGUUGUUCGGAAUUACUGGGCGUAAAGCGCGCGUAGGCGGACCUGCAAGUCGGGUGUGAAAGCCCUCAGCUCAACUGAGGAAGUGCGCCCGAAACUGCAGAGCUUGAGUGCCGGAGAGGGUGGCGGAAUUCCCCAAGUAGAGGUGAAAUUCGUAGAUAUGGGGAGGAACACCGGUGGCGAAGGCGGCCACCUGGACGGUAACUGACGCUGAGACGCGAAAGCGUGGGGAGCAAACAGG
This 253-nucleotide ribosomal RNA is filed under the name uncultured bacterium. Its description in RNAcentral is "partial 16S ribosomal RNA". It matches the Rfam family "Bacterial small subunit ribosomal RNA", at positions 524 to 776 of the family's 1533-position model. The record is from RNAcentral.